CCUACGGGUGGCAGCAGUGAGGAAUAUUGGUCAAUGGGCGCGAGCCUGAUCCAGCCAAUUAGCGUGAAGGAUGACUGCCCUACGGGUUGUAAACUUCUUUUAUAAAGGAAUAAAGUGAGGCACGUGUGCCUUUUUGUAUGUACUUUAUGAAUAAGGAUCGGCUAACUCCGUGCCAGCAGCCGCGGUAAUAAGGAGGAUCCGAGCGUUAUCCGGAUUUAAUGGGUUUAAAGGGAGCCUAGGUGGGUUGUGAAGUCCGUUGUGAAAGUUUGGGGGUUAACCGUAAAAUUGCAAUUGAUCCUGGCAGGCGUGGGGACAGGUGAGGUAGGCGGAAUUCGUGGGUGAGCGGUGAAAUGCUUA
This 357-nucleotide ribosomal RNA is filed under the name uncultured bacterium. RNAcentral describes it as "partial 16S ribosomal RNA". It matches the Rfam family "Bacterial small subunit ribosomal RNA", at positions 338 to 692 of the family's 1533-position model. The record is from RNAcentral.